Molecule: long non-coding RNA, 15275 nt
Organism: Orcinus orca (killer whale)
Lineage: Eukaryota; Metazoa; Chordata; Mammalia; Artiodactyla; Delphinidae
Exons: 2
Source: RefSeq, a predicted model, not a curated record
GUAAAUCUGAUGAGAGAAAUAACCACAUGGUCAGGUGGGUGGACUGGAGUCCCACAUGGAUCUAUGUGCUCUCCCCACUCGGUGCUGGUGCCAAAGGACUAGCCUUCUGUUAGUCACGAGCAUUUUCUGAGAUUGUUCAGUCAUUUUCUUCUCUACUGAAGGAAUUUAGGCAGAAGCUGGAGUUGGGAAAGGAAAGAAAACUAACAUUUUGAGCCGUGUUACUGUGUCAGGCAGUUAAUUCUCACAGUUCUAUCAGGUAGCUAUGAUUGUUGCCAGUUCUUUCUCUUCAGAAACCGAGGUUAAGUAGCUCAGUUAAAACCACCUGACUCCAUUCUGCUGCUGGGUAUUUCUGGGCUCAUUUACAACCUGAGUGGCCACCGCUGUGGAGACCUCGGCCUCCAGCUGGAGGGGCAAAAACAACGUGACACCAAAUUUAGCUGCUCUCCGGAGAGCCUGCCUGUCCUGCGGUAGGUAGCGCGGCUGGGCGAGAGCCCCCCUCGGCUGUGCUUCGCAGACUCGGGGAGCGGCCCGGCCCCUGCCUCUUCUUCAGCCUCUCUCUCCGCUAAUCCCCUCCUGGUCCUCUCAGCUCCUGCCAGACGCUUCCUCCCACACCUUUGCCCACGUUGCUCCUUCUGCUUGGAACAUCUCCUUCUCUCCUUGCCGGGCUGUUCGCUCUUGGCUCCGUGGGACUCGGCUUGGGCACCAGAACCUCCCACCAAGGCCUCUCCUGAACCCUCAGCCUGGGCCCCUCACAGGGCGUAUAGCACGGGAACAACGAAUGUGAACUCUGGCGUUAGACCUGGAUUCACAUCCUAGCUUGGCCAGCUUUUUGAACUUAAUCUUUCUCAGCCUCAGCUUCCUUAUCUGUAACAUGAGGACAGCAACACCUACCGCACGGAGCUGUCGAGAGGAUUAAAUGAGUUAAGGUACAGCGCAUAGCACAGGGCCCAGCGCCCGCAAGAUGCUCAGUGAAUGUUUGCCAAGUGAAAGUACAAACCGAGACAAGUGGCUACAGCUGAAGAGUGAAAUGAUGGCGGCACUUACAGGAAAAGAACUGUCAGCUGGAACUCAGUUUUGUGACGUCAUCCCAGGGUCGAGAACAUGGUUGCUUGUUGGGCCCAAUCUAACGCUGGACGCCAGAAAACUAUCCUCAGUGGUGGAGUGAAGCUGGGCUUGUUAUCUUGCUUUACAGAUGAGGCAACAGAGGCUCAAGACAGAUAGAGGCUUGCGCAGUCAAGCCGGAGGGGGCCUAUCGGGAAGUGGCAGAGCCGGACCCGUCUCUGCUCUCUCCCCAGCUGGACCGUGGCCUGCAUGCCCUGCUGGUUCCUCCCUGGUCUCACCCCCAGACUUAGCUCUUCAAGGAAGCCUUCUCUGACUGCUCCAGCCCACAUGGUUUCCUCCAUGAACUCCCUGGAUUCAAAGCACUUAACUGGCUGUAUCCUGGGCACAGAAGCCUUGUGACAUGUCUGGAGGUGUCUUGUGUGAUCUGCUUCCUAAGUACAUGAACAGAGGCAAGUCACUUAACUUCGUUGAGCUUCAGUUUAACUAUAAGACGGGAAUCAUAAGAUGUGGGUUAUAGAGUUGUUCUGAGGACUGAGAUGACCUAUGCUUGGGGGUGGAAAGCAGGGCCCUCCAGGUAGUUCCCUCCCAGCCACUCUGCACAUUUCUGCCCCCUUCUAAUGCUCCCCACAGGCCCUUUCUAUGGUAGCUGCUCGAAUGUUUGGAGUCUGACAGUCUAAGCCAGAGCUAUGUACUCAUCCCAGAGAGAUGGGGCAUUCUGAGCGGGCCUGUGCCAUGAGCCCCAUUACUGUGCUGAUAGAUCUGAGGUACCAGCAAAGGAAAUACUAGGUGUCACCCUAAUCUGCAUCAACCUAAUCUUUGGAGGAGUCAGAAGUCUCAUGGUGACCCUGGACCCCCCGUUCCAGAUGAGCUUCUCCAAGGGAUUGUAUGGUUGCAAAGCUUUCUCUCUGGCUGUCAGAGCACAAGCGAAUUUCUGACACUGCAGUCCAGUGGCCAACCCAGGAAACACUUGCACAGAAUACAAAUACCAAUAUGAUUUUAUUCAAACACAGGCAGGAACAAUGACCUUCAGAGCUGGGUAAAAACAAUAAGUUAAAAGCAUGGUUAGAGUUUCAGACAAUCAGAUAAAAAGUUUGAAGGAGAUAAUUUCCCCCUCCUCUCCUACUGAUUAUUUCAACACAGCAUAAAAAUAAUUUUAUCUAUAAAAUACCCUUAUUCCCAAGCAAAUGAACUGGAGGUCGGCCCCAGGAUUUCCCUGGCUAUGCACGAGGCACAACAUCUCCACCCACCCUCCCCAACCCCUUUAAGGCAAAAGGGCCUAUUAUAUUCAGGCAGAGGGUAGGCUCCUGUCAGCAGGAGGCUCUGGUCAAGGACACUGGGAGGAGUUUCCCAGCCGAAAGAUGCCCGCUUGGGUCCCUUGGUCUAAAGACGGGUGGGCCACUUGGGCACUGGAAUCCACCAUUUCUAGCCUUUGCCUCACCAUCCGAGGAGGAAGCUGAAGUCCUGGCAGGUGGACACUGGGCUGGUCUGUGACGCUCCUCUAGUCUGGGCUGACUGGUGUCCAGGGACAAGGCUGGUGGUGGCUUCAGGGCUUUCACAGCCCUGAGGGAGGCCAGACAAGGCUGAGGGUGAGUGGGUGGGUGGUCCUUCCCUCAGUAUCUUGGGCUGCAUUAGUCUUUCUGGGAGUAUCGGGAAGAAAAUAUUCGUGCAAUCCUGCGAGUUUCUUCCUCAGACAGGCUGGGAGGCAGCGAGUUAGGUCUGGGACGACAAGGCCUUUGGGACAGGGCUCCCCCGGUGGUCUCGCUCUUGCCCUGGAGAGAAGGAGGUCAGCUAGGUUAGCACUGCACACAUGGCACUGCCUAAAGAUGACUUUGACUCUUCUUGUCUUUUGGUCCUUUGGCUAAUACUGGUAUAGAGCUGACUGAUUUGCAAAGCACUUUACAUACCUGAGUGUGUUUAACCCUCGCCUCGACCCCAUAGGUUGGUUCCCAUGUCAUGGAUGAGGCAACUAAAGUUCAGGUGAAAUAAACUCAAGGUCCCACAGCUCGGAGUAGCAGACCUAAGAUGUAAACCCCUGUUCAGACUCCUUCUAUGCCUCUGGAGAAGGAGGGGCAGUCUCCUCCAGGACAUUCCUUCUCUUGCUGCAUGUGUCUAGACAAGUCAUUUGUCCUCGAAGCAUGACUGUCCCAUGUGUGACCCUGCCAGGGAGAAGAUGCUGGUGAAAAAUACACUAUCUGUGUGGCCCUGGGGAGUUCCUGGAGCUGCCAGGUGUCAUGAAGCACACACCCACAGCCCUGCUACCAAACAUCUCCCGGUCUUGGGCUGACUGGGUAUCACGAAUUUCCCCUUGAAGGUGUGUGCAUUUGGGUUAUGAUGUCGUGGUCCUUGGACUCCUCUAUGACUCACCCAUUUGCUCCUCUAACCCUUUUGUUUGCUUGUUUCUGUGCUUACUCUGUGCCAGGUUCCUGCCCUGAAGGAGCUCAAAGGAUACAGGAAAGCCACCCCAGGCAGGUGGCUGACAGCAAGGCCCCAGGGAAGAGGUGGAGGCCUGGUAGAGGAAGAGGCAGUGCUGAAAGGACAUGGGAGUUGCCCCGACAGGCAAACGUGGCUGACUCCACAGCGUGCAGCCUGUCCCCAAAUACUGAAAGCACACGCACCACUCCCUACGCCCCAGGAAUCAGCUUGGUGGAGACCCUAGAGAUUAAGACUACUUCCCUGCCCCUUAGUAAUUCUGCUAAUGGGAAACUGAGGCCCAUUGCUUGUGGGAGUAGAGUUGCUUGUGGGAUCAGCAAUAUUCAGUAAUUCCUUCUUUCCUUCACUUCUUUAACCUUCUUACUGCCUACUGUGAGAGGGAGAUAGAGAUGAACAGUUCUCAAUCUCCAUAGCUCAGAGUUAAACUGGGGAGACAGAGAGAGCUAUUCAAAGAAUUAGAAUAGUAGCCAGGAAGUGAUAGGGGGAAUGGAAGUCAGGCAACCUUGAGGGUCCCUGCCAAUCUGGAAUUCUAAAUGCCAAGGGAGUGCAUACAACCUGACAAGCUCUCAGCGCUGACAGCCCACAGGCAGGUUCUCUUUGCUGGAGAACCAACAGCAAAGCGAAGCUAGGGGCUGGACAUGCCCAGCAGAGGUGAGUACAUACAGCUCCCCCAUCGUCCAGGCAGGCCUAGGCUAAAAGGGGAGAAAGGAAACCCACCCUGUGCUGGUGUUUGUAGUUCUUCCUUUCAAAACAUGGGAGGCACCUGCACCCCAUAAUGCCUCAGGCUGGGGAGGCCAGCCACCCAGCCACUGCCUGAGGCCCUCUCCCUCCAGACUGGAUGCUCCUGCAGGGCAUGGCCUGUCUCUGAUGCUUGUGACUCCCACUGAGACAGGUCCAAGAUGGGAGCUUGGUAGCUGAUAGACCAGUGAAUGGGUCAAGCCACGGUGACCAGAGGCUUAAAUUAAUUGGGGAGGAGACUGCCUCUUGCAGCAAAUAUCUCAUUCAGUCAUUCUUUCAUUCAUUCCAGAACCAGUGAUUGCUCAAGCUAGAGGGGAGACGAAUGCUGACCUACCCAGCAAUCCCAAAGAGGAAGCUUAGAGCCCGGGAGCACAGAGAAAGAGCAAUUCAUUCAGAAAGGGCGGCUUCACGCAGAGGUGGGAUCUGAGACGCGCAGGGUUUCAGCAGAGCUGUGUGUGGGGUGAGGUCACCGCACUGCAGGGGCAGCAUGAGCACAGGCCUGCACCUGCUAGCUGGGCUGACAUCUGUGAACCAGCCACAGCCAACCUCGCAGUACCCACACCUGGGCCCAGCCACCUAGGGGGCCUUACCUGCAUGGCCCAGGCCCGGGGACAGGACGGGGUUUGGCUCUGUGUACUGGGCAGGGCAGAGCUGUGGAAGGCCAGCAGCAUGUGGCUUUUGUUGACCUCAAAAGGGUCUAAAAACCAUCUUGACUAGUAGUAAAGUCUCUUUCUUCGUCAGGGUUGCUAUCCCGAGACAUACAGCCUUGGCGGGGCUGGGCAGAGGUGUAGCUGCCCACGCAGGGACACCACUCCAUGUACCCACCGCUCCUCUGAAAAUACUCCCAUGCUCCUGCUGGAGCUCUGGGGGCACCAGCAAACUGUCACCAUAGCAUAUGGUUUGAGGAGCCUCAGCCUCCCUGGGGAGGCAGGAGGAGCCCACAUGGAAGCACGACCAUCAGACUGAGGGGCUGCAGGGGCCUUGGGGUCUGGACAGUGGGUGUCAUACGUGGGGUGAAGUCCCUGGAAGGGUACUUUCAAGAAGACGGACUUGAAACAUGAAGGUGGAAUCUGAACAAAGAGUAUGAGAGAGGAUAUUCCAGGUAGAGUCUUAGAUUGAGCAAAGGUGCGGAGAAGGAAUUUAUUUGCUGGGAAAGCCAGGGGGAUGGGACUGGUUGACUGCAGGUAUGGAGAGCGGAAGACAAACCCAGCAAGGGAGGGGCUCAAGUUCCUGAAUGUCUGGGAGGAACUGACCAUAUUCCUCUUGGACUUUCCAGUGAUCAGGGGGCGUGGGGCUGACCCCUGUCCUGGGGUGAAGGACAGAACAGGCUUUACUGUGGUCUGGGUGUUAAGCCUGGCAGUAUAUGAGGGGCUCUGAUUGUCCCUUUAAAUCCAUCCAGCUCUCCUAUUAACUUCUCCCACUUCCAAAUAUGGGGACCUGCUCUUUUCUGGGCACCUGGACACCCAGGCUUCUCGGCCUAUUGUUUGAGACAGACGUCUCAAAGGAGCCUUCAAUGUCAAAGGCAGAACUCCAGCAGGGAGAAAAUAAAGCAUCAGGGGAGGAGUAAGGAGCAGUGGUGGCAGGAAAAUAUAGGGCUUCCAGGGGUUCCUCACACCAAGAGGCUAACCCUGGUGGGGGAGUGGCUCUAGUCCUGGCUCUACCACUUCUUAGCCAAGUGGCUUUGGGCAAGUCACUUCCUCUCUGGGCCUUGGUUUCCUUAUCUGAAAACAGAUCAGGAUGAGCAGGUAAUACAGGAGGAGGCACCCUGUAACCCAGGGACUUACCCCGGCCCAUGGCUCCCUCUUUGGCCAGCUCCCUGUGAUAGCAUCUUCUCCAAACACUCUCUCAGGAGGCUCCAGCCCUCUUCUUUGGCCUCGAAAUGUGAGCUGAUUCAAGCCACUGUGUUCUGGGUUCCCUCCAUCUAGUCCCCAGAUGGGUAUCCCUACAUAGACCACAUGUUUCCAGGAGGGUGGUAGGUGCAGGCACCCCCAUUUACCCCUGCUUCUGGGUGUCCCUGGGACUUUCUCAGAGGGGAGGCAGUGGGGUGGAGUGGAAGGAACACUGGUCUGUGGCCCAGCCCAACUGCCCCACUUGCUUGAGGCCAGGACACUUUGUCUCUCUGGGUCUCAGUAUCUUCAUUACCAAGUGGAGCUGAGAACUUGUUUGCCUCUUUGCCCCAGGUCUACCGUGAAGCUGAAAUACAAUUCAGAUGUGACCAAGGCUCUGGCCAGAUACAAAAGCACAGGGGCUAAAUAAGCUGGAGACACCAGCUGCGGAGAGCAAAAUGAAGCCCUGCUGUUCCGAGACCUCACUUCAGCUGGAGCAGAAGUGGGGUACAGCACCCCCAGAGGGAUGCCCAGGGCUAGGCCAGGACUGGCCAUACUCUCCCCCUACCAUUGCCCCCCACCCGUUGAGCCCCUGGGCCUGGCAUCAGGUCUGAAGUUUUGUUUUCUUCCCCAGAGCAGAUCCCUUACAAUGACAUAAACACUGCCUCAGGGGCUGGAAGCAAAACUUUCCAAAGAGCUGAAAACAGAAAGUAAACAGCCAGCUGGUUCUGGCUGGCUAGGAUAGGGCUGCCAACAGAUGGCUGCUUCAGAGAUGAGUGAGGCUCCAUAGAGCCGCCUGCCUUGUUCAACUUUCACCUACUUGGCUGGCUGGCUGCCUUCCCCUCCCAGAGUCCUCUCCAAAGGCUGGGACUAGGACUUCCCUGUGCUAAAGAGAGUAGCAAACUCAGCAGCUGCAACUAAGAGCAGGGGGGAAGCGAGGAUAAGACUCGCAGACCAGGUGCCCAGCCUUGAGAGGCCAAUCCUAAAUCUGACCACCUAGCCCAGCUGCAGUGUGGCUGGGCUCCACGCUCUGAGCUCACCCUCCAUUCCUGCCUCAGAGUUCUGGUCAUGUGGUUCUCAAUACCUACAUGCUGCCUCUGUUCCUCCCCACCCUCCGAUGCCUCCCUUGCCUUCCUCCAAGAAGGCUUCCCUGACAACCGGCCUAUUCCGCAGGGCCUGUGUCACCCCUCAGCCCGGGCCUCAGUCUCCCAGCCUGCACCGUGAAGACGCCAGACUAGAUCAAGACUCUUCAACCUUCUGAACCCACUCCCUGCCAGUGAGAGGGAAGGGUUAAAGUGACACUCUUGGAACUCCUGGCUCCUCCCAGACUCUGGCCUCAGCGCUCAGGCAACUUGAGCCUAGCACCUGCCCAGCAGACCCGCAGGCCCUUUCCCUCGCGGUGCCGGCCAAACUGCAUCUGGGCCAAGGUGGGCACCAGCCAAUUCUGGCUGCUUCCCCUGACUUCUGUACACCCUUGGCCAGAGAGCUCAUCUCCUCCUCAAAGCUUUGUGUGGCCUGAAUCAGAAGCUCUUUGACCUUUGGGACUCCUCCUGGGUCUCUGCAGAGGGCUAGGGACUUGGUAGCUAAAAGAGGUGAGGUAACAGGUCAGGGCUUCUUGCCCCACGAUGGGCAGCUCAGCCAUCAGGCCUGGACCACAGGGUGAGAAGAGGACACCAGGCUCAGGAACUUCUCUUGGACUCCAACCAUCUGGUCUGGUGAUUUUAUGGAGGACUGGGCUCCUCUACCAAGACUGUGUUUCUCUUAGAUGGCUCUGGGCUUGGGGAAGGGAAACCAAGAGACAGAAGAAUUCUUUGGGCUCCUGGGAGAAAAGAAGCAGCCUCAGGACUCAAAGGCAGGCAGGCCACGGACUUCUGAGGCUAGGGCUCUACCACCUUUAGGUGGGGGCAGUGGGUCAUCCUGGGUCUCUAACUCAGGGUCUGAACUGAGCACACAAUCAACUGCUAGGGCCCUGAGCAAUGCUCUCCAUCCUCCUGGGGCUGCCCUGUGGGGUCUAACUUCCCAGGUCCCUGCGGCUCCCUGCGCCUGGUGCUAAGCUUUUGAUGAUGUCCCUAUCCCUACUAGUCCCCCCAGAAUGUAACAGCACAAGAGGGGAAGUUGUCUCAAUAAUAAUGAUGAUAAAAAUAACAAUAGUUAACAUUCAUAUAGUUCCUACUAUGUCAUGUGCUAAAAACUGCUCUAAGUACUUAACAUCUUACUCGGUUAACCCUACACAAGCUCUAGUAGGCAGGUACUGUUUCACCCAUUUUUCAGAUAAAGGAACUGAAGCACAGAAAAGGUAGGUAACUUGCACCAGGUUACACAGCUAGAAAGUGGCAAAACUGAGCUCUGAACUUAGGCUGUCUGGAUUCAGAGGCCAUGUGCCUAACCGCUAUACAAAACUGCCUGGUAGGAGAGAAGAGGGACGUAUAGCCACAAAUUACGUCCGUGUUGCCUCCUCAGACCUUGUUCAGCACCUCAGAAGGCCAGAAGCAGAGCCAGGGCAAGAAACCAGGUUUGGGCUUCCCUGGUGGCACAGUGGUUAAGAAUCCGCCUGCCAAUGCAAGGGACACAGGUUCGAGCCCUGGUCCGGGAAGAUCCCACAUGCCACGGAGCAACUAAGCCUGUGCGCCACAACUACUGAAGCCCGUGCGCCUAGAGCCCGUGCUCUGCAAUGAGAGAAGCCACUGCAAUGAGAAGCCCGCACACUGCAAUGAGAAGGGCCCCCGCUCACCGCAACUAGAGAAAGCCCGCGCGCUGCAAUGAAGACCGAACGCAGCCAUAAAAAAAAAAAGAAAAAAAAGAAACCAGGUUUGCUGACUCAGCUCCCCAGCUGCCUGGAGCACCUCGAUCCCGAUGAUGUCUGAAACACUGUGGUCUGGCCAAGUGGAGGUGAGAACUCUAAGGUGGGGUGGGAGUUGGACAACUCAAGGCUUUCAAGGGGACACUUGUGCCUGGCCUUGUUGCCGACCUCCUGCCUCCUACACACACUCCUCAUGAACAGUAGCAUCUGGCUCCAGGCCUGUGGUUAGUCCAGGAGCUCAGAUGACAGGUUGAUUCUUGCUCUUUACUUCUGAUUCCUAUCCUGACUGCUUUGGUCCAGGCUGAUCUCUCCCCAGCUCUGACCUCCUCUCUAGCACAUCCUGUUUGUACUUCCCAGUUACCACAUUCUGUUGAUUCUCUGAAAGGUUUCUUUUCUCCAAAUCCACAGCCUUCAAAGCCUUUCCUUCAUCUUUGCUGAAUUCUACUCAUGCCACCGUACAUGGCUCUGUCUUCCUUUCCCUGUACGCAUUCUCUUUGUUUUGUUUUACUUAAGUGCUAAUAUAGGCUAAUGUCAUUUGAGAAAGUUAGUGAGUGGUUUGGUGGCCAGUGCCUCUCAAGGAACUGUGACCUCCCUGAAGAGGGUCCAUGGCACCACGUCUAGCACUUUAAGCACGACGGGCGCUUGGUGGAGUUGGUGGAACUUACAUAUAAAGCUUAGUCCCCUGGGGAACUGUAAGCUUUGGCGGGGGAGAGGACCACAGCUCCUUCUCUGUCUACUUCUGCACCUAGCUCAGGACUAUUGGCUUUGUAAUUUGCUGAAAGAUGUACAUUUCAAGUUAGAGGCCCAAACUACUUUCCUACUCUCUGGCCUGCCUGUCCUCAGACCCACCUCGGGCUCUCCUAGUCAUCGAUGGUAAGUUACUGGAGGGUUCUGAGUGGAGAAGUCACAUGAUUUAUUGAUGAUUUACUUAACAUCUUAAAAACUUAACAGGAUACUGUAUGGGGAAUGGGGGCAAGGGUAGAAGCAGAAAGGCAAGUUUGGAGGCUCCUGCAACAAUCUAGGCGAGAGAUGAUGACAGUUUAGACCAGGUAGUGGUGGGAGUGGUGAGCAGUGGAUGGAUCUGAAUUUAGAGGUAGAGCUGCCAGAAUUUCCUGGUGGAUUGGAAAUCAAGGCAUCAGAGAGGAUUCAAAGGGUUUUGGCAGGAACAACUAAACUAGAAGGAUAGAAUAUCUAUUAACUGAGAUGGGGAAGACCAAGGAACAGAGCUGAGGAAUGAAAUCUGGAGUUGAGUUUGGAUAUAUUGAGUAGGCAGCUGGACAUACGAGCCUAGAGUUAGAGGAGAGGUCUGGGCUAAGAUAAUCAUUAUGAGUCUUCGGCAUAUAGAGGGGAUUUAAAGCCUUGAGAUCAGACAGGAUCAUCUAGAAAGUAAGUGUAAAUAGAGAAGUCUAAAGACCACACCCUGGUCACCCCUAUUAACAAGUAGGGGAAAUGAAGGAGAACCAGCAAAGGCAGCUGAGCAGGAGCUGCCAACAAGGGAAGAAGAGAACCAAGAAGCACUGAUGCCUUAGAAACAAGUGAAGAAAAUGUUUACAGGAGAGAGAUCAACUGUGUCACAUGCCGCUGAGAGAUCAAAGAAACUGGGCACUCAGAUUUAAUAACUGGUUUAGGAAUAUGGAGGGUUUUUUUUUGGAUUUUGAAAACCUUGAAGAGUCCCCCCCUCCUCCGGUGGUAGAGUGGGGUAAGAGUCAGAUUACAGUGGCCAAUCACACUGGCUUCAGUAUGGAGACACAUGGUGGUGGGAAAGUGUGGCUGUGAGUAAGAGUAGUUAGAAACAGCUAUGGGGGAAACAACUGGGGCUAGAUAAUGAAAUGGUGAGAAGUGAGUGGAUUCAAAGAUAUUUAGGGGACAGAAUUCACAGGCCUUGGUGAUGGUGGGUUGUGGGGGAUAAAGGUGUAGGAGGAGGGGAAGACGACACACAUGCUCUGGCAGGGGUAACUACACGACCGUGGUCGUGUUUACUGAGAUAAGGAACGCUGGCGGUAGAGGGGGUGUGCAAAGGAAGAUGACAAGCUCAAGGUCUGGAUGUGCUGAAUUGUUUGUAACAUCAAGUAAAGGCUUCUAGGAUGUAGGUGGAUCCAUGUGUGUCUGCAGCAUGGCAGAGAAGUCUGGACUGAAGAUAAGGAUUUGAGAGUCAUCAAACUGUAAUAAUAACUGAAAUAAUUGAAGUGGUUGAAAUUUCCCCAAAGAAACAUCUACAAGAGCAGAAGACGUUAAGUCUGGGGAAAACAACAUGUACAUUAGUGCUAUCUCAUCCUCGACCUCCCCUUUUAGAGAAGUUGAUAAAACUAGUUUGCCCCUGGCAGCUAAGCAAACAGAAUCAGAAGUAACUAUACAUAAAACUAGGGAGCUGUCCCAUUGAAGAGUUACUUUAUCACAAAGAGGAAAGAGAAAGCAGAGGCAGCAGAACCUGACUGAUUCAUAAGGAAUUUCAAAGGUGCCACUGGAUGGCUGUUCGAUGGUCCUGCUAGACCCGCCAUCCUCCUCCCUCCUUUGCUUCUUGAAGAGGUGACAACCAGAAGAUGAAACAGUCAUGAGGAAGGGGGGCUGAGAGCUGGCCUCUAUACCCUAUCUGUGUGACACCUGGUGCUCUUCAGUGCAACCAUGCUUUGAGGCCUGAUCACCCCAUCUGACAGAUGACACAGACUCAGAAAAAUCAGAAGACUUGACGAAGUUCACACAGAGAACCGUAUCCACUAUACUGUGGGGAAAAGGGGAAAACACCUGUUUCACAAAUGCUAGAAAUGGAGACUGUCUGGGAGGUUCCUGGGUUCAGGUGCAUUUUUCAGUGUGGUUGAAGGAUUAGGCCUUCCCUUAAAUCUUGUGGUGGAGCCAGGUGAGCUAAGUAUAGCUGUCCCAGGACACUGGGUGAGAAGAGUCAGCCUCUCAAAAUGCUCCUCUUCAGCCUUCAGAGCCUUAGGAAGAGUCAAAAUAGAUGGAAUCCUCAAGUUGGGAGUACAGGACAAGGCUCCUGCCCUCCCCUGCCCACCUCUCACUUUGAGCUGUUGACUGUGCCUGAAACAUAGCCACAAAUAGAAGACAGAAGAGAAAACAGGGACUUCCCUGGCAGUCCAGUGGUUAGGACUCUGUGCUUCCAAUGCCAGGGGUGUGGGUUCGAUCCCUGGUCGGGCAACUAGGAUAUCGAAUGCCAAAUGGCAUGGCCAAAAUAAAUAAAUAAAUAAAUAAAUGGACAUAAGAGAAAAUAGAAGCUUCCAUCAAAUGGGAAACUCUAUCACCAAAUCUAAUCCUACCUGCUUUAGCACCCAUCUUCUCUGUCUGCCUGUAUGCUUGUAUGCUAUAGGGUGAGUUUUCUUUUUCUUCUCAACAGGCUAAUAUCUCCACAUGUGCUCUGGAUCCAGGGACUAGUCUUUCUAUUCUCUCCCUCUCCUGCAUCUUCCCUUCUUCUUUUCUCUACUGCUCACUGCACUGCUGUACAGAAAAAGCUGAAGCCUUUCCCAAAUAAAAAAAAACAAAACAAAAAACCAAAAAAACUUACCUUAUCUCAGAUGCUACCCCACCCGCUAUCCUAUACUUCUGAUCCAUAUUCACAGCCAAAUCUAUGGAAGGACUUGGUGUCUCCAUUUUGUCACCAUUCAAUCAUUCUUACAAUUUAAAUUACAUACGAUUUUGUGAUUUCAUGGUGUAAUAUACCAAAGAAUACUAACAUAUUUAAAUUAUGAAGCAUGAUAAAAAUGAACAUCAAUAAACCCACAACCCAACCUAAGAACUAAAGCAUUGUUAAUACUGUUGAAUAGACCUAUGUGCUCUUCCUCCCCCAUCCUAUUCCCAGCCUCUGCAACUGUGAACAUCAUAGUCAAACUGUUGAAAACCAAAGAAAAAAAUCUUAAAAGUAGCCAAAGAACAAAGGUCACAUAACAUUCCGGGCAACAACAAUAAGGAUGAUAGCUGCUUCUCAUCAGAAACAAUGGAGGUCAGUAGAAUGUGGAGUGAUAGUUCUAAAAUGCUAAAACAGGUAAUACCCUGGCCGUCCAGUAGUUAGGAUGUGGAGCUUUCAUUGCUGAGGGCCAGGGUUCAAUCCCUGGUUGGGGAACUAAGAUCCCACAAGCUGCAUGGCGUGCCCAAAAUUAAAAAUGAAUGAAUGAAUGAAUAAAAUGCUAAAACAAACACAAUUCAAGUUAGAAUUCUAUAUCCAGUGAAAAAGUAUCUUUGAAAAAUGAAGGCAAAAUACAUUUCAGCCAAUUGAAGCUGAGAGCAUCAGCUCCCAGUAGGUCUGCACUACAUGAAAUUCUAAAGGAAGUUCUUCAUGCUGAAGGGAAAUGGUAAUAAACUGAGACCAGGGUGUGAAGAAGGAAUGAAGCCAAGAGCAUAAGUUGCAGAAAACGUGCUGCUACAAACACAUCAAGUAGUGAGGAAGGCUCAUCACCAGUGAGGACAACGAACACCCUGAUGUUUCCUGGAUUGUGGGACUUUCAAUGCUGAAAAUGAGACAGCUCGGGCGAACUGUGAUGACUGGCUACCCUAACUAGGACCCCGAAUAAGGUCCUGAGGAGGGAGCUGUUCCUGAGAGCAGCAGACAAACAAUGGAGUUUUGCUGUGGGCAAGAAAGAGAAAAGGCUACAAAGUGUAUGAGACUUUAUCUUCUCAAAACUAGACUUGCCCUUUAACUGAAGUAAACAUUAUUACAUCCCUCUCCCACCCUUUGUAUCUUAUGUUUAAUAGAUCAAAGAUAAUAAGUCCCCCCAGGAGCUGGCACAUCAUGAAGGCAGAAACACAAAAGCAGGAACAGCACAAAAGCAGGAACAGCAGUUCCAUUUGGCAGUUGAGAGCUGAUAGCUCAGACACAGUGACUCACAGACCUCCCUUCCUACAAGGCACAUCUCGCCCACUUGGCUGGGAGGGGAAGAGGGAAAGGAAACUAACAGUGUCUGCGUUUUUCCUCUAGGGUAAUUCUUGUCAUCCUCUUAUUAGGUAAGAAUUCUAUUAGCCUGAUGUUACUUUAAAAAAAACCAAGACUCAGAAAGGUCAAGUCACUUGCCCAAGAUCACUUAGCCACGUCGCAGAUUCAGUAUUUCAUAUCAUAGAUGUCUUGUUCAAAAGCUUGUGCUUGGUGCUGGACACAGCCCUGCUACCCUAGCAUAAGUGCUGACGUGAAUACAUGGGGCAUGCAAGGGAAGAUGCAGAGUAGAAGGAGAUGAACUGGUGACCUGAACCAGAGUAGAAAUAAGGCCACGGAAAUGCAGAGCUUCUGGUGGGGACUGGCACCUCUCCUCCUCUAGGACAGGAAUACAAAUUUGAUAAAAACUGAGAUGUGUGGGAAUUUACACUUAUCAAUGUGCCAAAGAAAUGAGGUGUCCUCAAAAUGAUGCUGGGGAAGCUGGGGGAGAAGUGGGGAAGGAAACCAGUAAAAGAACUAGACAUCUUAUGGCUUCUCUUUAGGACUAUACCCCUAGGCUCCCAGGAUACUUCUGGACUGACCCCAUCUGUCAUCAAAGUAGGCCCUGGAAGAGCAUUAAAAAAUGUUUAAACGUUAACUGCAAAAUGAAACCUAUAUAAAGAAGGCAAAUUAGCUAGAAAAAUAUACCGUAAGCCAAGUGUCAUGAUUUUAAAGUGGUGCAACGGAAAGCACAGAGUUUGCAGUCAUACUGGUUGGGAGACCCUGGGUAGGUGACAACCUACUUAACCUUUAUGUGUCUCAGUUUCUACAGAAUAGAAACUAUAAUACCUUGUAAGUCUGUAUGGGAAGUUCUGUAUGGGAACCUCAGUUUUCUCAUCUAUUAAAUGGGGAUAACAAUAGUACCCCUCUUAUUGGGUUCUUGGGAGAAUUAAAUCAGUUUACACAUGUAAAAUGCUUAGAAUAAUGUCUAGUGCACGGUAAGCAUUACAUAGGAGUUGGCUAUUAUAAUUAACAAAUAAGCUAAUACAUUUUGCUCAUAGCAUGUAUUAUUCUCUCAAAUUGUUUUUUUCAAAGCUCCACAAUCCACCUCCUAGAGUAAUGAAAAUAAAAACAAAAAUAAACAAAUGGGACCUAAUUAAACUUAAAAGCUUUUGCACAGCAAAGGAAACUAUAAACAAAACGAAAAGACAACCCACAAAAUGGGAGAAAAUAUUUGCAAAUGAAGUGACCGACAAGGGAUUAAUAUCCAAAAUAUACAAACAGCUCAUGCAGCUCAACAUCAAAAAAACCAAACAACCCAAUCAAAAAAUGGGCAGAAGAUCUAAAUAGACAUUUCUCCAAAGAACACAUACAGAUGGCCAAAAAGCACAUGAAAAGAUGCUCAACGUGGCUAAUUAUUAGAGAAAUGCAAAUCAAAGCCACAAUGAGAUAUCAACCUUACAGCGGUCAGGAUGGCCAUCAUCAAAAAGACUACAAACAACAAAUGCUGGCGAGGGUGUAGAGAAAAGGGAACACUCCUACACUGUUGGUGGGAAUGUAUGUUGGU